AUUAAUUCUAAUCAAUUUUUAAACCAAAUUCUAAUAAAAUUCUAUUUAAAUCCUAAUUAAAAUUUAAUUAAAUCCUAAAAAAUUCUUAAAAAAUCAUAUUCAAAUCCUAGACAAAUCUUAAAUCUUAGUAAAAUCCUAAAUCAAAUCUUAGGCAAAUCUUAAUUAAAUCCUAAUAAAAUAUUAAUAAAAUUUUAAAUCCUAAUCAAAUCCUAAAUC
This 216-nucleotide long non-coding RNA is filed under the name Physcomitrium patens. RNAcentral describes it as "long non-coding RNA (PPAT_LNC001121)". The record is from RNAcentral. Lineage: Eukaryota; Viridiplantae; Streptophyta; Bryopsida; Funariales; Funariaceae.